CGGGGUGAGUAAUGCUUGGGAAUCUAGCUUAUGGAGGGGGAUAACUACGGGAAACUGUAGCUAAUACCGCGUAGAAUCGAGAGAUGAAAGUGUGGGACCUUCGGGCCACGUGCCAUAGGAUGAGCCCAAGUGGGAUUAGGUAGUUGGUGAGGUAAAGGCUCACCAAGCCGACGAUCUCUAGCUGGUCUGAGAGGAUGACCAGCCACACUGGGACUGAGACACGGCCCAG
This 229-nucleotide ribosomal RNA is filed under the name uncultured bacterium. RNAcentral describes it as "partial 16S ribosomal RNA". It matches the Rfam family "Bacterial small subunit ribosomal RNA", at positions 104 to 334 of the family's 1533-position model. The record is from RNAcentral.